CCCUGAAGCUGGCCUCACAGCGAUGCAGUCUGCUGUAGAGCAGCAGGCCAGACUCAGACAUG
Molecule: small RNA, 62 nt
Filed under: Mus musculus (house mouse)
Lineage: Eukaryota; Metazoa; Chordata; Mammalia; Rodentia; Muridae
Description: small nucleolar RNA, H/ACA box 61 (Snora61)
Source: RNAcentral